GGACACUAAAGCCCAUGACGAACUAGGACCAAUGAAGAGAUAAGCUCAGUUACCUAUGGGCCCAAUCACCCAAAGUCAGACCCACAAACUUCAAGGAAUUUUUAACCUGAUAGUGCAAGAAUAGAUGAGCAACACAAUCAUCAAUAAAGCACAAAGAAAGGCCCAAAGUCAAGCGCAAUAAUGGAAAACGUGUGCAACAUG
This 201-nucleotide long non-coding RNA is filed under the name Carica papaya (papaya). RNAcentral's name for it is "long non-coding RNA (CPAP_LNC011890)". Lineage: Eukaryota; Viridiplantae; Streptophyta; Magnoliopsida; Brassicales; Caricaceae. The record is from RNAcentral.